Molecule: long non-coding RNA, 832 nt
Organism: Xyrauchen texanus (razorback sucker)
Lineage: Eukaryota; Metazoa; Chordata; Actinopteri; Cypriniformes; Catostomidae
Exons: 4
Source: RefSeq, a predicted model, not a curated record
GGUGAUUUAGUACUAUAGGUACUCUCUCUAGAAGUGGCCGUUAGAUAUUCAUCUGUCCACAGUUAGACAAACUGUCUAUAAAUGGAGGUGAUUUAGUACUAUAGGUACUCUCUCUAGAAGUGGCCGUUAGAUAUUCAUCUGUCCACAGUUAGACAAACUGUCUAUAAAUGGAGGUGAUUUAGUACUAUAGGUACUCUCUCUAGAAGUGGCCGUUAGAUAUUCAUCUGUCCACAGUUAGACAAACUGUCUAUAAAUGGAGGUGAUUUAGUACUAUAGGUACUCUCUCUAGAAGUGGCCGUUAGAUAUUCAUCUGUCCACAGUUAGACAAACUGUCUAUAAAUGGAGGUGAUUUAGUACUAUAGGUACUCUCUCUAGAAGUGGCCGUUAGAUAUUCAUCUGUCCACAGUUAGACAAACUGUCUAUAAAUGGAGAUGAUUUAGUACUAUAGGUACUCUCUCUAGAAGUGGCCGUUAGAUAUUCAUCUGUCCACAUUUAGACAAACUGUCUAUAAAUGGAGAUGAUUUAGUACUAUAGGUACUCUCACUAGAAGUGGCCGUUAGAUAUUCAUCUGUCCACAGUUAGACAAACUGUCUAUAAAUGGAGAUGAUUUAGUACUAUAGGUACUCUCACUAGAAGUGGCCGUUAGAUAUUCAUCUGUUCACAGUUAGACAAACUGUCUAUAAAUGGAGAUGAUUUAGUACUAUAGGUACUCUCACUAGAAGUGGCCGUUAGAUAUUCAUCUGUCCACAGUGAGACAAACUGUCUAUAAAUGGAGAUGAUUUAGUACUAUAUGUACUCUCUCUAGAAGUGUCCGUUAGAUAUUCAUCUGUCC